GUUUGAUUGCGGUGUUACGCAAUGUAGGAUAAGCAAGAAGACCUCGUUAUAACGGCAGCCUAUGACAAGAGCGAAGAUGCCGGUAAUAUUGUCGAAGGUGGGGAAACUGGCCCAAGAAAUUACCAGAUGAUUCACCGCUGAUAAUCGACGUCGUCGGAUAUAACUCUUCCGAUGAGCGUGAUGACGUCGACGCAGAAUCCACGUUGGGCGAUUCCAGAUUCGGGCUUCCGCCUAAACUUCCGUUUCUGCACACAACAUCCGGACUUCCGGUUGGCUUCUUAUAAAUCGGCGGCUGCGGCGCGCUCACCGGAGGCGACUGAGCGUUAUGGAACGCGGGGACGCGGGUUCCGGUUCCGUGAGCAAUAAGCGGAAGGGAAAGCAUCGGUUGCGCCAGUGGGCCCAUGGAAGUGAAAGACGUCAUCUGAUGAGCGACUUGGGUCCCCGGAAGUGAGACCAUAGACAACAUAGGCACCGGGCUAGGUACAUUGUGUUCGCCAUACAUCCUCGAUUAGUCCCUAAAAUGAACAACUAACAAACCACCUCUAGGCAUAUCAACCUCACCAGUUAUCGUUUUCACACUGCCUGUACUACAGUUAGGUCUAAACACUGUAUGUUUCACAUACUUGUCCUUACGUAUACGCGAGUUUAUUCCGACAAGUUCACCAUUACAACAAGAUUCUGUUUUAACUAUCACCGGGUAUUGUUAAUUAGUGCAAAAUAAUAUUUAAUGCUUUACAUCAUGUCCAUUAAACAACAACAGGUUAAGGUUUUAUCAAGUGUACUGCGCAAAACUUGCACUUUAACUGCCCAACAUAGUGGUCAGUAUGGACAUAAUCACCAGCCAUUACUAACUGACCGGCCGAGUCCAUUUUCUAUUGGUCAGCGAGAGGGCAGUUUGACCUUCUUGCUAGGUCAGGUCUCCGACAGGUAAAGCCACUCAGUUAAUGUUGAAAGCGUCAGUUGCGAAUUGUACCAUUCGUCUUUGUUAAAUAUCAAAUACUCUUUUCAGCGGAUAAAGGAAAUACAUAAUAAAUUUAACUGAUACAAAGCAAUUUA
This is a long non-coding RNA of Dreissena polymorpha, 1056 nucleotides long. RefSeq lists it as uncharacterized. The record is from RefSeq and is a predicted model, not a curated record. NCBI's taxonomy places the organism in Eukaryota, Metazoa, Mollusca, Bivalvia, Myida, Dreissenidae. The transcript is spliced from 3 exons.